Molecule: small nucleolar RNA, 132 nt
Organism: Pseudoliparis swirei
Lineage: Eukaryota; Metazoa; Chordata; Actinopteri; Perciformes; Liparidae
Product: small nucleolar RNA SNORA47
Exons: 1
Source: RefSeq, a predicted model, not a curated record
UGGAGGACUGAGAAGGUUGAGCAGCCUGUGCUGCUAUAACUGGUUAUAGCCUCCGAGAGGAACACGCGCAACGCACUCGAUGAAGCGGCUCCGCCCCCAUCGGAGCCGCUCGGUAGUGCUUGUGGACAUUAU